AACUGACAUUGGCAAUUUUGUAAUAUGUCUUAUUUCACACAUUUUGAUUGGUCUAACUGUAUGCUAUUUUGUGAUAACAAAGAUUUCCUCCCGCCCAGACCAUUGGUGUCAAAAAGUAUUUUUAGCCAAAAAAGUCAUAUACGACAUUUUAGAAGCCCAGCGACGAUAUGUCAAAUCAAUAUCUUCAAGCAUGAAGAAAAAACUCUGGAAAUCUUAUUUGCCGGACUGACGGAUGGACAGACGGACAGAGUGCAAACCUUAAGUCACCGUUCGACUUCCUCGGUAGGGGACUAAAAAGUAAGACGCCAAGGUCGAAAAUAGUUCUAGCUCAUAAUGAAGCAAGAAGGUCUCUGCACGUACCCGAAGUUUUUCACACUUUGUGGACAUAUGUUGCUGGUGGAUAAAGU
RNAcentral lists this long non-coding RNA (407 nucleotides) under Mytilus galloprovincialis (Mediterranean mussel). The record is from RNAcentral. Lineage: Eukaryota; Metazoa; Mollusca; Bivalvia; Mytilida; Mytilidae.